RNAcentral lists this ribosomal RNA (486 nucleotides) under uncultured bacterium. Its description in RNAcentral is "partial 16S ribosomal RNA". It matches the Rfam family "Bacterial small subunit ribosomal RNA", at positions 30 to 507 of the family's 1533-position model. The record is from RNAcentral.
AUUGGACGCUGGCGGCAUGCCUUACACAUGCAAGUCGAACGGCAGCACGGGUGCUUGCACCUGGUGGCGAGUGGCGAACGGGUGAGUAAUACAUCGGAACAUGUCCUGUAGUGGGGGAUAGCCCGGCGAAAGCCGGAUUAAUACCGCAUACGAUCCACGGAUGAAAGCGGGGGACCUUCGGGCCUCGCGCUAUAGGGUUGGCCGAUGGCUGAUUAGCUAGUUGGUGGGGUAAAGGCCUACCAAGGCGACGAUCAGUAGCUGGUCUGAGAGGACGACCAGCCACACUGGGACUGAGACACGGCCCAGACUCCUACGGGAGGCAGCAGUGGGGAAUUUUGGACAAUGGGCGAAAACCUGAUCCAGCAAUGCCGCGUGUGUGAAGAAGGCCUUCGGGUUGUAAAGCACUUUUGUCCGGAAAGAAAUCCUUGACUCUAAUACAGUCGGGGGAUGACGGUACCGGAAGAAUAAGCACCGGCUAACUACGUG